CCUACGGGUGGCAGCAGUGGGGAAUAUUGGGCAAUGGAGGAAACUCUGACCCAGCAACGCCGCGUGCAUGAUGACGGCUUUAGGAUUUGAAAGUUCUUUUUUAAGGGAGGAAGAAAGUGAUGGUAGUUUAGGAAUGAGCCUCGGCUAACUAUGUGGCAGCAGCCGCGGUAAUACGGAGGAGGCAAGCAUUAUCCGGAAUGACUGGGCGUAAAGGGUGCGUAGGUGGUUUGACAAGUUGGUAGCGUAACUACGGUGCUCAACCACGGCACUACUUCCAAUACUGUCGGACUAGAGUGCAGGAGGGGCAAAUGGAAUGUCUGGUGUAGCGGUGAAAUGCGUAGAUAUUAGGAAGAACACCGGUGGCGAAGGCGAUUUACUGGACUAUAACUGACGCUGAGGCACGAAAGCGUGGGGAGCAAACAGGAUUAGAUACCCUUGUAGUC
Molecule: ribosomal RNA, 443 nt
Filed under: uncultured bacterium
Lineage: Bacteria
Description: partial 16S ribosomal RNA
Rfam family: Bacterial small subunit ribosomal RNA
Source: RNAcentral